Molecule: ribosomal RNA, 340 nt
Filed under: Lotus environmental sample
Lineage: Eukaryota; Viridiplantae; Streptophyta; Magnoliopsida; Fabales; Fabaceae
Description: eukaryotic LSU rRNA
Rfam family: 5.8S ribosomal RNA (bases 1-84)
Source: RNAcentral
UGCAGAAUCCCGUGAACCAUCGAGUCUUUGAACGCAAGUUGCGCCCGAAACCAUUAGGUCGAGGGCACGUCUGCCUGGGUGUCACACAUCGUUGCCCCAACGCCAAAUGCUUCGUGCUAUGCGGCGUGCGGGGUGAAUGUUGGCCUCCCGCGAGCUAAGGCUCACGGUUGGCUUAAAUUUGGGUCCAUGGUAGGGUAUGCCAUGAUGGAUGGUGGUUGAGUAACGCUCGAGACCAAUCAUGGGUAACCUUAUCAUGCUUGGGACCUAUAGACCCGCAUGCGUGGUGUAACCGCGCUCACAAUGAGACCUCAGGUCAGGCGGGGCUACCCGCUGAGUUUAA